This 717-nucleotide ribosomal RNA is filed under the name uncultured bacterium. RNAcentral describes it as "bacterial SSU rRNA". It matches the Rfam family "Bacterial small subunit ribosomal RNA", at positions 28 to 718 of the family's 1533-position model. The record is from RNAcentral.
AAUGGACGCUGGCGGCGUGCGUAACACAUGCAAGUCGAACGAGAAAUUCCGGGCUUGCUCGGGAGAGUAAAGUGGCGAACGGGUGAGUAACGCGUGGGUAACCUGCCCCUGAAUUCGGAAUAACUUCGCGAAAGCGAGGCUAAUACCGGAUAUUGUCCCAGGGACCUCGGUCUCUGUGAUGAAAGAUGACCUCUUCACGAAAGUUGUCGUUCAGGGAGGGGCCCGCGUACCAUUAGCUAGUUGGUAGGGUAAUGGCCUACCAAGGCGAUGAUGGUUAGCUGGUCUGAGAGGAUGACCAGCCACACUGGCACUGAAACACGGGCCAGACUCCUACGGGAGGCAGCAGUGAGGAAUUUUGCGCAAUAGGGGAAACCCUGACGCAGCAACGCCGCGUGAGUGAAGAAGGCCCUCGGGUCGUAAAGCUCUGUCAAGUGGGAAAAAAGCUUGCUGGUAAAUAGCCAGCAAGACUGAUGGUACCAUUGAAGGAAGCACCGGCUAACUCCGUGCCAGCAGCCGCGGUAAUACGGAGGGUGCAAGCGUUGUUCGGAAUUACUGGGCGUAAAGGGCGUGUAGGCGGUGUGGUAAGUCAGAUGUGAAAGCCCUGGGCUUAACCCAGGAAGUGCAUUUGAAACUGCCAUGCUUGAGUAUGGGAGAGGAGAGUGGAAUUCCCAGUGUAGAGGUGAAAUUCGUAGAUAUUGGGAGGAACACCCGUGGCGA